UUUCGCAAUGCCCGAAAGGGUGACGAAGCAACGCCGCGUGGGUGAGGAAGGCCCUCGGGUUGUAAAGCCCUGUCAGGAGUUAAGAAAUGUAAGUGCGCUAAUAUCGCAUUUAUUUGACGAAGGCUCCAAAGGAAGUCACGGCUAACUCUGUGCCAGCAGCCGCGGUAAUACAGAGGUGGCAAGCGUUGUUCGGAAUUACUGGGCGUAAAGAGCACGUAGGUGGGUUUGCAAGUCAGAUGUGAAAGCCUCCUGUUCAACGGGAGAAUUGCGUCUGAAACUGCAGAUCUUGAGUGUAGGAGGGGAGAAUGGGACUUCUGGUGGAGCGGUGAAAUGCGUAGAUAUCGGAAGGAACGCCGGCGGCGAAAGCGAUUCUCUGGCCUAUUACUGACACUCAGUGUGCGAAAGCUAGGGGAGCAAACGGGAUUAGAUACCCCGGUAGUCCUAGCCGUAAACGAUGGGCACUAAGUAGAGGGGUUUUA
This 479-nucleotide ribosomal RNA is filed under the name uncultured anaerobic ammonium-oxidizing bacterium. RNAcentral's name for it is "bacterial SSU rRNA". It matches the Rfam family "Bacterial small subunit ribosomal RNA", at positions 364 to 833 of the family's 1533-position model. The record is from RNAcentral.